GGCUCGGUAGUGGACGGUCCACGCUCACAUCUGGUAACCAACGGUGGACAGUGCAGUGAGAGACGCCUGUUCGAGUCGGGUUCGAGCCA
Molecule: non-coding RNA, 89 nt
Organism: Mycena polygramma
Lineage: Eukaryota; Fungi; Basidiomycota; Agaricomycetes; Agaricales; Mycenaceae
Source: the annotation of a GenBank genome assembly